AAACUUUAUAAAGUGUAGCUUCUAACUAUACAAAAGUAAAUAAUUUACUAAAGUUUU
RNAcentral lists this transfer RNA (57 nucleotides) under Bemisia tabaci. RNAcentral's name for it is "tRNA-Ser". The record is from RNAcentral. Lineage: Eukaryota; Metazoa; Arthropoda; Insecta; Hemiptera; Aleyrodidae.